Nylanderia fulva is the source of this 568-nucleotide non-coding RNA. The record is from RefSeq and is a predicted model, not a curated record. NCBI's taxonomy places the organism in Eukaryota, Metazoa, Arthropoda, Insecta, Hymenoptera, Formicidae.
UAAUGUGUUUGCGUAAAAAUUGGUUUCUUUAGCAACUGAUAAAACAAUAAGAUAGUUUAUUUUAUUUUACAACACGAUCAUGAUGAACGGAAUUAUUGUAUCAAGAGUUACAAAUAUACUGCUUGUAAGAAAUGUACAAAAGAUAUGUUUCUAUAAAACUCUAUUAUUACAAAAAUCAUUCAACACAAAUCAAUUACUCCCUUUCUACAAGGAGACCAGCAAAACAUUUCAGAAAUUUAAAUUGAAGCAAGCAAGGAUGCAGUGUGAUGACGGUCUUCCUGUUUAUUUAAAGGUCGGCAUACGCGAUAAAAUAUUGUUUAACAUUACGUUAAUUAUGCUUUUAUGUAAUACAAUCGGAUCGAUCUAUACAAUCAGGGAGUUUUUGAGAAAAUCUUAAUCUUACAUGUAUUUAUAUUAUAAUAACAUAUUCUUCUUUUUCUAAUUGCGCAUAUCGUGUGAAAUAAAUAUGUUAAGAUAUUGAUAGAAGUGUUUUCGGAAUUUGUAAAUUAAACAAUUUCAGUUUACAUAAAACAUUGCACACACACUUAUACAUAUCCUAUAAAAUAUA